GACGAAUGCUGGCUGCGUGUUUAGCACAUGCAAGUCGAACGGUGAACAGGGGCUUGCCCCUGGGAUCAGUGGCGAACGGGUGAGUAACACGUGGGCAACCUGCCCCUCACUCUGGGAUAACUCCGGGAAACCGGGGCUAAUACCGGAUACGACCUGGUGCGACAUCGCACCGGGUGGAAAGAACUUCGGUGAGGGAUGGGCCCGCGGCCUAUCAGCUUGUUGGUGGGGUAACGGCCCACCAAGGCGACGACGGGUAGCCGGCCUGAGAGGGCGACCGGCCACACUGGGACUGAGACACGGCCCAGACUCCCACGGGAGGCAGCAGUGGGGAAUAUUGCGCAAUGGGCGAAAGCCUGACGCAGCGACGCAGCGUGAGGGACGAAGGCCUUCGGGUUGUAAACCUCUUUCAGCGGGGACGAAGCGCAAGUGACGGUACCCGCAGAAGAAGCACCGGCUAACUACGUGCCAGCCGCCGCCGCAG
This 481-nucleotide ribosomal RNA is filed under the name uncultured bacterium. RNAcentral describes it as "partial 16S ribosomal RNA". It matches the Rfam family "Bacterial small subunit ribosomal RNA", at positions 28 to 523 of the family's 1533-position model. The record is from RNAcentral.